This is a long non-coding RNA of Dendronephthya gigantea, 622 nucleotides long. RefSeq lists it as uncharacterized. The record is from RefSeq and is a predicted model, not a curated record. The transcript has 3 exons. Lineage: Eukaryota; Metazoa; Cnidaria; Anthozoa; Malacalcyonacea; Nephtheidae.
AAUGAUAUGCCAGUUUUUGCAUCAAUUGUAGAAACAUUUGUACUUGCUGCAGACAAGAUUUACUUUAUUCUGGAGAGAUUUAUAACAGUUAAAUUCUCAUGCCAUUUCCAUUGCUACGAAGUUCAAAGGCAUGCUAAUGCACAAGCAUUUAUACUUCAGCCUACAAUGCUAAGGAUGUACCUUCCCAUGCAUACAACAAAGGCAUCUUCCUGGGAAAAUGAUGUUCUAUAUGUCAUGUCAAGAUACCAACUCCCACAAACACUUUAGAGUUUACUAUAAAUAUAGCUAUUACUGUAAAUAUGUAUAUGUAAAUAUAUAUUGCUGUAAAUAUAGAUAUUACUGUAAACAUAGUUACCACAAAAAGAUGAAUUUAACAACUUCAACGCCUAAUAUUCAAAUAUCCGGGACCGGCCUUUUUUUCGCUGGUACAGCCAGGCUAUGCAGGCUACGUGAUGAUUCACCACGUGCUCAAGAUGGCGGAACGAGUAAACAUUGAAGAGGCAUGAAAGCCAAGAGAGAGAGAUGAGGCACAAGUCAACCAAACACGCGAUCAAAAAGAUUUAAGAUGAUUCGUAUGAGGUGUUAGAGGCAGAAAGAAAAGAAAAGAAGAAAACCAGGAGAG